This 1523-nucleotide long non-coding RNA is filed under the name Homo sapiens (human). RNAcentral's name for it is "long intergenic non-protein coding RNA 710". The record is from RNAcentral. Lineage: Eukaryota; Metazoa; Chordata; Mammalia; Primates; Hominidae.
ACGUGGUUAUUUUCUUAGAUCGUACAACCAACGUGGUAAUGCUGGCAUAAUAAUUCCCGGUUGCCAUUUUCUGACAUUUGAAAAGAUCUGAAGAUACGCCCCUUGGAUGCCUGCAGAGAAGCUCUGGGGCUUCAGUCAAUGACUCAGGGUAGCCACCGAACAUGAUGCUCGGGCAGUGGGUGCCACCUGGACUCCACUCUCCCCUCUCUCUGGGAUCAUAGAGUCCAAGGUGUUCUGUGGCCUCUCGGCCAAUCCCAGCAGCUCAGCGUGCAGAAGACCGAGGAGCCAUUGGAAUUCAACACAACACGAAAUAAUCAACAAAUUCGGGGAAUGUUAAUCUGACCAUCACCAGUUACAAAUGAUGUUUCAUGCUACCUUCUAUUCCUGCCUUCAUAAAUCAAGGAAAAGAAAAAGAGAACAUAUAUCCCCCUACCUUUUGAUUUCCAACAGUCUACUGAGAGGCCAAGAUUAUUUGCAGGGAAAGAAAAGGGGUCAAAAUGUUUUGCCAGUAACUCCCAAAUCAUCUACAGCCAAGGAGAAAAGUGUUUCAAGACAGAGGUGCUCAAUGGUAUCAAAUACUGCCAACAGACCAAGUAAUACAUGCAUUGAAGUGUCUACUGGAUCUAGCUAUAUGAAUUUUUAAUUUAGGACACUUAGGCCAUACUGAAGCAAGGUGACAAAAUGAAUAGCUACAAUGUCUCGUGAAUCUUGGGUUUCCAUUCACCCUGGUAUUCAAGAGAAAUUCUUGCAUCAUGGAAGUUGCAGUUGGAUAGGACUUUCUCAGCUGAACACUGUCAUCUGCCAGAGCUUCAGGCAAGAACCCAGAACAGAUGAAACCCCAGACAUGACAAAAUAAGCCAAAGAAUACCAGGCCAAGGUGUGAAAGGCCAGAUGAGAACAAGCAGCGUACACGAUUCUGUUGCCAACAGAUCUCCCCUAACAGUGUCGUGCACCAAAUUUCCACAGUGAAUGUCAGGAAAAAAUGGCAAUUGAGGUGGGUGGUCAAAAGAGAAGCACAGUCUAUGAUGAAGUCACCCCAGAGAAGUCCUUUUUCCGUUUUCUCCUGAGAAAUUACCAGAAGAAAUUAAAAUCCUUUUGAGUAUUGCAUUUAUCUCUGCAGUAACAUUAUUUUUUCUUAAGGAAUCUCUAUCAAAUUUGCAUCUUGUCUAAUUUAGCAGGGAAUGUCACCAGGAUAAGACAACUGCAAAACCCAUUUGGGUGUGCCAAAUGACUUCAACCGAACCUCCAUGCAAACAACAUACAAGAUGCUUUCUUACUAAAUGCUCAAACAUCAAGUUCUACAUCCAGAACUGCCCCUCAACCCUCACCCUCUCGAACUCAGUAAAAAACAACCCUCUUUCUAGCUCUGCAUUUCCAAUGAAUGCCUCUUCCUCCAGACAUCCCUAGUUUUUGUUCAUGAUACUAGGACAUUCCUAAACUGGAAAUGUGAGAAUCAUGUGGACUGCUCGCUCCCUCCUUCAUUGCCUGAGUUUAAGCAAAUAAUAUUGAUUAGUUUUCCCCAA